This 436-nucleotide ribosomal RNA is filed under the name uncultured bacterium. Its description in RNAcentral is "bacterial SSU rRNA". It matches the Rfam family "Bacterial small subunit ribosomal RNA", at positions 40 to 507 of the family's 1533-position model. The record is from RNAcentral.
CGGCGUGCCUAAUACAUGCAAGUUGUGCGGUAACAGAGAGAGCUUGCUCUCUGCUGACGAGCGGCGGACGGCAGAGUAACGCGUAGGAACAUACCCCAAACUGAGGGAUAACUGCUCGAAAGAGUAGCUAAUACCGCAUGUGGUCUUCGGAUUAAAGCUUCGGCGGUUUGGGAGUGGCCUGCGUCCGAUUAGCUAGUUGGUGAGGUAAUUGCUCACCAAGGCGACGAUCGGUAGCUGGUCUGAGAGGAUGAUCAGCCUGACUGGAACUGAGAACGGUCCAGACUCCUACGGGAGGCAGCAGUAGGGAAUUUUCCACAAUGGGCGAAAGCCUGAUGGAGCAACGCCGCGUGCAGGAUGAAUGCCUUCGGGUUGUAAACUGCUUUUCUGUGUGAAGAAUAUGACGGUAACACAGGAAUAAGGGUCGGCUAACCACGUG